AGAAUUUUUUUUAAAAAUUUAAUCUGCCCAAUGAUUUUUUAAUGGCUGCGGUAAUUUGACUGUACAAAGGUAGCAUAAUAAUUAGUCUUUUAAUUGAAGUCUGGAAUGAACGAUUGGAUGAGAAAUUUACUUUCUUUAAAUUUUAUCUUUAUAAUUUAAUUUUUAAGUGAAAAAGCUUAAAUUAUUUUUUGGGACGAUAAGACCCUAUAGAUCUUUAUUUUUUUAUUUAUUUAUAAAUUUUUAGGUUUGUCUAAUUUAUUUUUGUUUAAGAUAUUUUUGUUGGGGUGAUAGUAAAAAUUUUUUUGUCUUUUAUUUAUUUAUUCAUUAAUAUAUGAUUUUUUUGAUCUUUAAUUUUGACUUAUAAGAUAAAGUUACCUUAGGGAUAACAGCGUAAUUUAUUUGUAGAGUUCUAAUCGAUAAAUAAGUUUGCGACCUCGAUGUUGGAUUAAGAUUAGGGGAGGGUGAAGAUUUUUUUUGUUCUAGGUCUGUUCGACCUUUAAAUUCUUACA
This 509-nucleotide ribosomal RNA is filed under the name Aecalus sp. AJB-2014. RNAcentral describes it as "partial 16S ribosomal RNA". The stretch from base 382 to 509 matches the Rfam family "Bacterial large subunit ribosomal RNA", at positions 2473 to 2600 of the family's 2925-position model. The record is from RNAcentral. Lineage: Eukaryota; Metazoa; Arthropoda; Insecta; Hemiptera; Machaerotidae.